GGUCCACGAUUCCACUACGGAUCGUCGGGCACGUACCUGCCCGUGGAAAGGAAGUG
Luteococcus japonicus LSP_Lj1 is the source of this 56-nucleotide non-coding RNA. NCBI's taxonomy places the organism in Bacteria, Bacillati, Actinomycetota, Actinomycetes, Propionibacteriales, Propionibacteriaceae. The record is from Rfam.